Scylla paramamosain (green mud crab) is the source of this 887-nucleotide long non-coding RNA. RefSeq lists it as uncharacterized. The record is from RefSeq and is a predicted model, not a curated record. The transcript is spliced from 2 exons. Lineage: Eukaryota; Metazoa; Arthropoda; Malacostraca; Decapoda; Portunidae.
ACAUGGAUUAAAUACUGGAAGCCCUCAUAUUUAACUAAACAUACCAAAACACCGAGAAAAACGAGAAAUGAGCUAAAAAACAACAGGAUCAAGAAUUCUUUCAUUGGUUUUAUCCGAAGAUUCAGUCAUCUAUUGCGUCGCUUUGUUAAGGGACGACUCAAAGGAGGCGAGGAGAAAGUACAGCAAGGUGGUGUGGGGAUUUGUCACCUCUGGACCAAAUGAGGCUCUUGUCAUAUCGAGUGUGAAGUGAGCGGCUUCCACUUCGCCAUCCCGUGAACGGCCCGCAGGAAUCUCUGCCAACACCUGCUUCAGCACUGCUGGCAUCUGGUCGUCAAAUAGCGGUGCCACGCCGGGCCUGACGUGCUCCGUUGCAAUCGGGGAGUCGAGUUUCACAAGGAAGACUGGCCGAGCAUCGCCGCCUUCAAGCCCCACAAGAGGUGUUCAGUAUCGUUGGUACAGAGCAGAGGGCCUGGUACAAGAGUUUUCAUUGCAGUCAAGGAAGUCAAGAAUUUUAAGCAGGAGUUUAGACUCAAACAGUUAACAGCAGGAAGAACGCCUGAAAUUCCCUUCAAGUUGCGGGGGGACAACGGGCAACCCUCAACACUUGCGGAGGCACAAGAGUUGUGGGCAGUUUCGCCAGGAAGAGUUUGUUCCGCACUCAAGUUGACACAAGGGCUCAAGAAUGAGCAAGAGUUCUCUAGUCUUGGAAGAAUGUAGCAAGUCCCUCUUCUGUACUCAACAACCACCACCACCACCACCAUUCAGGCUUGGGGUAAGCUUUGUACAUUCCAUUACUCCAGUAAUAAGGAAAAGAAGUGCCAUGUUUAUCCUGUUGUGUGUUUAUUAACUUGUCAUACACUAAAACAAUAAAAAUUCAAUAUACCGUC